GCCUGUUCCAGAAGCUGUCAGGUUCUCUG
RNAcentral lists this non-coding RNA (29 nucleotides) under Mus musculus (house mouse). The record is from RNAcentral. Lineage: Eukaryota; Metazoa; Chordata; Mammalia; Rodentia; Muridae.